Molecule: long non-coding RNA, 750 nt
Organism: Drosophila mojavensis
Lineage: Eukaryota; Metazoa; Arthropoda; Insecta; Diptera; Drosophilidae
Exons: 2
Source: RefSeq, a predicted model, not a curated record
CUUUAAUAGUUGGUACAAUUUAUUUAACUCAAAAUGUAAUCAAUAUAUUUCAGAAUAUUUAGAUUUAGAAGAGAAUUGGAGGAUAAGAACUACAAAGGGUAUUCCUAUUAUAUUUGCGGGAAUUUGAUAAAAUGCAAUCAUCUACGCAGUAUUUUCUAAAAUGAUUAUGAUGCCAAACUAAUUUUCUCUCUCAAUCAGUUAAGUUAAAUAAUCAGAUAAAUGAUCAGACGCGUGGCGACCCUCUAAUUGACGGUGACUUUUCAUUAGGCUACCCACCGGGCAAGGAUUCAAAAGGAUGCGCAGCAAGAGAAUAAAAAAGAUGCUGAGUGCUACCCUUAAAUUAAAAACUCGUUGAAAAAAAAAAACUGCGUGUCUCAAGUUUUUUUCGUCUAUCUUUCUUGUGGGGGUCGACGGAAGCGCGCGUCAGACCCAUUUUUUUCCUUCUGGUUCUUCCUUAUCCUGCGGCCUAUUUGAAAGUUGGAUGGAGAGUUAAAUACAAAAAAAAAUCGAUGAAGUAAUUUCUAUUUAAGCAGCAGAAAAGGUUGAGAGAAGAGCAUGAAACAGCUUCAAAUUAGCCGACAGCAAGAGUUGGCUGAAGAAAGGAAACAGAAAGAGACGCAGAAAAAUAUUUCAACUAUUUUAUGAAUUAUAAUUAAAAGACAAAGUAGUUUGAUAUGCCCAAAACUUGUUGACCCAAUAUCCAUUCGAAAAUGAAGCCCCCUCUCCUUAAAUAAAUCAACUUGACUUCAA